AUGUGCACACCAAGAAAACCAACCACAUUUCAUCUGGUUUCUGUUGUUUACAGAUCCGUAGGUACUGUCUUUCCAGGGGCGGGGGUCAAAUUAUCCAGCGCAGCAGUCUGUGAACAGGGACUGUACUCACAGCGGGCGGCGGACGGCGGGGACGACGGGGGCCCGGGGGGAACUGCAGCCUGGAAGACCAGAGCACGUUCCCACGGUGACAGGCCUCCACGGCCCGUGUCCCUCCGUGAUCCGAGAACACCAUGUAAUGGUUGGAGCAGCACAGCAGAAAGGGGCAGCUGCCUCGACCAAGGGAGCCAGGGCUGGAGGGGCGCAGAGUCGGGGAGUCGGGGGGAGUCUGCAGUUUCCUGCUGUUCGAAGCGCACCAUCCCCUCCUCUCCUGCCCCCGGAGCGACAACAGUGACUUUCUUAGGAGACGCAAAGGAAGAAGGUUCUCAAAGGGUGACCUGGAAACCCUGGUUGCUCACAGGCACUGUUCCCUUCCCCUGCGGCCGUCCCGUCCCUGUCCCCGUGGUGGUGAGUGGAGGACCAGAGCUUUGUGGGCACAGCCGGGAGCCCCGCGGAGCCGGCUUCUCCUGCUGCAGCUGCUGCCCUGUCUUCCCGCUGCCCUUCCCGCUGACCCCGCGGGCCUGGGUUCACGUGCUCGCAGGGCCGAGACGAUGGCCACAUGCUGUGAGGACAGGCAGCGUGGAGCGCGGAGGCCAGUCCAGGGCCUGUGUCCUCGAGGGCCACCCACUCUCACACUGGCAGCAGCACUGGGGGCCGCCUGGGCCGGCCCAGCCUCCAGCCCCUGCUGGGUCAGCCCCGCCAGCCCGCCACCGUCCUGAGGGUCGGGGCUCCUGUGGCCCCGGCUCCUGGGGACUCCGUCCAGCCUGGGCCGCUGAGGAGCCCUGGCCGAGUGUGUGGUUGGUCUGUUUUGGGGUGCCCCUCCCCUCCGAGAUGGAUGUGCCCCAGACACCUUUCCCAGCCCAGCCUGUCACCCCGGGCAGCUGGCCCCCAAAGCCGGUCUGGCUGCAGCCAGCAGCGGGGGAGGGGGGGUGGCAGCCGGGGAGGGUCCUCUCCUGACCGAUUUCUCCCCCGGAGGGAGGAGCCUCCACAUCUGCAGAGGAGGAGGGGAGCACUGCCCCCGCGCUGAGCUGGUGGAGGGGUGCUGGGUGAGCCGCUCAGAGCCGGAGGCGGGCCGCGAGGCAGCCUGGAGCGCCCUAAGGUCAGUCAGUUUGCCUGAGUCCCCCUGGGGAGAUGCAGGAGCAGCCACACCCCGGGAGAGGGGUCUAUAGCACUUUGAGCCGACAGGGUCGGUGCAUGAAAAGAUCCCACAAACCCGAGGCAGAUCCACAGCCCCGUGGACACACGGGCGGCAGUCGCGGGCAGAC
Molecule: long non-coding RNA, 1382 nt
Filed under: Canis lupus familiaris (dog)
Lineage: Eukaryota; Metazoa; Chordata; Mammalia; Carnivora; Canidae
Description: lncRNA (ENSCAFG00030026017.1)
Source: RNAcentral